UGGGGGAUAUUGCACAAUGGGGGGAACCCUGAUGCAGCGACGCCGCGUGGGCGAUGGAGCGCCUCGGCGCGUAAAGCCCUAUCAGCAGGGAAGAAAAUGACGGUACCUGACUAAGAAGCCCCGGCUAAAUACGUGCCAGCAGCCGCGGUAAUACGUAUGGGGCAAGCGUUAUCCGGAUUUACUGGGUGUAAAGGGAGCGCAGGCGGCCUGGCAAGCCUGAUGUGAAAUACCGGGGCCCAACCCCGGGGCUGCAUUGGGAACUGCCAGGCUGGAGUGCCGGAGAGGCAGGCGGAAUUCCUAGUGUAGCGGUGAAAUGCGUAGAUAUUAGGAGGAACACCAGUGGCGAAGGCGGCCUGCUGGACGGUGACUGACGCUGAGGCUCGAAAGCGUGGGGAGCAAACAGG
Molecule: ribosomal RNA, 404 nt
Filed under: uncultured bacterium
Lineage: Bacteria
Description: bacterial SSU rRNA
Rfam family: Bacterial small subunit ribosomal RNA
Source: RNAcentral